Molecule: ribosomal RNA, 253 nt
Filed under: uncultured bacterium
Lineage: Bacteria
Description: partial 16S ribosomal RNA
Rfam family: Bacterial small subunit ribosomal RNA
Source: RNAcentral
UACGUAGGGGGCUAGCGUUGUCCGGAAUCAUUGGGCGUAAAGCGCGUGUAGGCGGUCCGGUAAGUCCGCUGUGAAAGUCGGGGGCUCAACCCUCGGAUGCCGGUGGAUACUGUCGGGCUUGAGUACGGAAGAGGCGAGUGGAAUUCCUGGUGUAGCGGUGAAAUGCGCAGAUAUCAGGAGGAACACCAAUUUCGAAGGCAGCUCGCUGGGACGUUACUGACGCUGAGACGCGAAAGCGUGGGGAGCAAACAGG